RNAcentral lists this ribosomal RNA (341 nucleotides) under uncultured Pseudomonadota bacterium. Its description in RNAcentral is "bacterial SSU rRNA". It matches the Rfam family "Bacterial small subunit ribosomal RNA", at positions 29 to 351 of the family's 1533-position model. The record is from RNAcentral. Lineage: Bacteria; Pseudomonadati; Pseudomonadota.
AACGAACGCUGGCGGCGUGCCUAAGACAUGCAAGUCGUGCGAGAAAAGGGCUUCGGUCCCAAGUACAGCGGCGCACGGGUGAGUAACGCGUGGGUAACCUACCUCGAAGUUUGGAAUAACUCGGGGAAACCUGAAGCUAAUACCGGAUGAGCCCACGAGGCCCUCGGGUCAUGUGGGAAAAGAUGGCCUCUGCUUGCAAGCUAUCGCUACGAGAUGAGCCCGCGUCCCAUUAGCUAGUUGGUGAGGUAACGGCUCACCAAGGCGACGAUGGGUAGCUGGUCUGAGAGGACGAUCAGCCACACUGGAACUGAGACACGGGUCCAGACUCCUACGGGAGGCUG